This 426-nucleotide ribosomal RNA is filed under the name uncultured prokaryote. Its description in RNAcentral is "bacterial SSU rRNA". It matches the Rfam family "Bacterial small subunit ribosomal RNA", at positions 355 to 774 of the family's 1533-position model. The record is from RNAcentral.
UCGAGAAUUUUUCACAAUGGGCGCAAGCCUGAUGGAGCGACGCCGCGUGGGGGAUGAAUGGCUUCGGCCCGUAAACCCCUGUCAUUUUCGAUCAACCGUUGUUGUUUAAGAGAUGACAACCUGAUAGUAGCGAACGAGGAAGGGACGGCUAACUCUGUGCCAGCAGCCGCGGUAAUACAGAGGUCCCAAGCGUUGUUCGGAUUCACUGGGCGUAAAGGGUGCGUAGGUGGCAAGGUAAGUCGGAUGUGAAAGCUCGGAGCUCAACUCCGAAAUGGCAUUGGAAACUGCGUCGCUAGAGGGUCGGAGGGGGGACUGGAAUACUUGGUGUAGCAGUGAAAUGCGUAGAUAUCAAGUGGAACACCAGUGGCGAAGGCGAGUCCCUGGACGACUCCUGACACUGAGGCACGAAAGCUAGGGGAGCAAACA